RNAcentral lists this transfer RNA (83 nucleotides) under Danionella translucida. It matches the Rfam family "tRNA". From Rfam's summary of the family: Transfer RNA (tRNA) molecules are approximately 80 nucleotides in length. Their secondary structure includes four short double-helical elements and three loops (D, anti-codon, and T loops). Lineage: Eukaryota; Metazoa; Chordata; Actinopteri; Cypriniformes; Danionidae. The record is from Rfam by way of RNAcentral. RNAcentral also lists the same sequence under 1 other name.
ACCAGGAUGGCCGAGAGGUUGAGGCGUUAGACUAAAGAUCCAAUGGAUGCAUGUCCUCGUGGGUUCGAACCACACUCCUGGUA